GCCGGAGUGGUGGAAUUGGUAGACACAAGGGACUUAAAAUCCCUCGGAAUUAACCCUCUGUACCGGUUCAAGUCCGGUCUCCGGCA
RNAcentral lists this transfer RNA (86 nucleotides) under Spirochaetes bacterium GWF1_41_5. Its description in RNAcentral is "tRNA-Leu". It matches the Rfam family "tRNA". Rfam says of the family: Transfer RNA (tRNA) molecules are approximately 80 nucleotides in length. Their secondary structure includes four short double-helical elements and three loops (D, anti-codon, and T loops). Lineage: Bacteria; Pseudomonadati; Spirochaetota. The record is from RNAcentral. RNAcentral also lists the same sequence under 1 other name.